CUACUGGGGUAUCUAAUCCUGUUUGCUCCCCACGCUUUCGAGCAUGAGCGUCAGUACAGGUCCAGGGGAUUGCCUUCGCCAUCGGUGUUCCUCCGCAUAUCUACGCAUUUCUCUGCUACACGCGGAAUUCCAUCCCCCUCUACCGUACUCUAGCUAUACAGUCACAAAUGCAGUUCCCAGGUUGAGCCCGGGGAUUUCACAUCUGUCUUAUAUAACCGCCUGCGCACGCUUUACGCCCAGUAAUUCCGAUUAACGCUUGCACCCUACGUAUUACCGCGGCUGCUGGCAC
Molecule: ribosomal RNA, 289 nt
Filed under: uncultured Burkholderiales bacterium
Lineage: Bacteria; Pseudomonadati; Pseudomonadota; Betaproteobacteria; Burkholderiales
Description: partial 16S ribosomal RNA
Source: RNAcentral